UACGGUGGGUGCAAGCGUUAUCCGGAUUUACUGGGUUUAAAGGGUGUGUAGGCGGACUUUUAAGUCAGCGGUGAAAUCUCCGGGCUCAACCCGGAAACUGCCAUUGAUACUAUUAGUCUUGAAUGUUGUUGAGGUGGGCGGAACGGGUCAUGUAGCGGUGAAAUGCAUAGAUAUGACCCGGAACACCGAUUGCGAAGGCAGCCCACUAAGCAACUAUUGACGCUGAGGCACGAAAGCGUGGGGAUCAAACAGG
RNAcentral lists this ribosomal RNA (253 nucleotides) under uncultured bacterium. RNAcentral's name for it is "partial 16S ribosomal RNA". It matches the Rfam family "Bacterial small subunit ribosomal RNA", at positions 524 to 776 of the family's 1533-position model. The record is from RNAcentral.